Molecule: ribosomal RNA, 253 nt
Filed under: uncultured bacterium
Lineage: Bacteria
Description: partial 16S ribosomal RNA
Rfam family: Bacterial small subunit ribosomal RNA
Source: RNAcentral
UACAGAGGGGGCAAGCGUUAUUCGGAAUUAUUGGGCGUAAAGGGCGCGUAGGCGGCUUGGCAAGUGGAAGGUGAAAUCCCUCGGCUUAACCGAGGAACUGCCCUCCAGACUGCUUCGCUUGAGACCGGGAGAGGUGAGUGGAAUUCCCAGUGUAGCGGUGAAAUGCGUAGAUAUCGGAAGGAACACCGGUGGCGAAAGCGGCACGCUGGGCCUCUUCUGACGCUGAGGCGCGAAAGCCAGGGGAGCAAACGGG